Spinacia oleracea (spinach) is the source of this 713-nucleotide long non-coding RNA. RefSeq lists it as uncharacterized. The record is from RefSeq and is a predicted model, not a curated record. The transcript has 4 exons. Lineage: Eukaryota; Viridiplantae; Streptophyta; Magnoliopsida; Caryophyllales; Amaranthaceae.
ACAAAUUGCGCUCAACUUUUCCUUCAAAAUUUUUCACCAAAAAACUUUCCGCUUAAAACUUUCACUUCUUUCCACUGCCUUCCGUCUUCUAAACUUAGGGUUUAGAUCAGUUUUCUUUCAUUCUCCAUAGAUACCAAAAGCUUGAACUCGAAACGCGAUAUUCUGGGGCGGAUGUGAUUAAUUCGCGCAAAUGUUAAUCGGGUUUUCAUCCUGGAUUCUUAACCCGAUUUCACGGAACUCAAUUACAGCUGUUUCAUCACAAGUUCAAGGUAUUCAGAAAACACGAAUUACCACCCUCUGUUGAUUUCACGAAGCAGGACCUGAUGAAAGAAAAACUAGCUGAACUUCCUGGUGGAUUUGAACAGUCUAAAGGACAAAUUGUCAAAUCUUAUAGGAUGAUGACACUUCAACACGGGGUUCAUGAAAUGCAAAGCUUAGGUAGCAACGCACAAGGACGAUAACUCUUUAUUUGGCAAACGGUGAAGUCGGACUUAUUUGGGGAAGCACAUGACGUUAUUGAGUUAUAUUAUAUUAGUUGUUUCGUUACUGCAUUGCAGUAGUUAAUUAGUUAUUUAUCUUGUCACUGCAGAUUAUUAGAUAACAUUUUGUUAAGUUUUUAAGAGUAUUAGACAAUUAUAUAUCACCUAUGUAAUGACUUAUGACUUACUCUGUAUGAGUUAUUUAUUUAUAAUAUUAUUUUUAUCUUAUAAUUA